This 253-nucleotide unclassified non-coding RNA is filed under the name uncultured Desulfobulbaceae bacterium. Its description in RNAcentral is "contains 16S-23S intergenic spacer region". It matches the Rfam family "Bacterial small subunit ribosomal RNA", at positions 524 to 776 of the family's 1533-position model. The record is from RNAcentral. Lineage: Bacteria; Pseudomonadati; Thermodesulfobacteriota; Desulfobulbia; Desulfobulbales; Desulfobulbaceae.
UACGGAGGGUGCAAGCGUUGUUCGGAAUUACUGGGCGUAAAGGGCGCGUAGGCGGCCUAUUAAGUCAGAUGUGAAAGCCCACGGCUCAACCGUGGAAGUGCAUUUGAAACUGGUAGGCUUGGGUAUCAGAGGGGAAAGUGGAAUUCCCGGUGUAGAGGUGAAAUUCGUAGAUAUCGGGAGGAAUACCGGUGGCGAAGGUGACUUUCUGGCUGAAUACUGACGCUGAGGCGCGAAAGCGUGGGGAGCAAACAGG